Long non-coding RNA from Falco peregrinus (peregrine falcon), 10688 nucleotides. RefSeq lists it as uncharacterized. The transcript is spliced from 2 exons. The record is from RefSeq and is a predicted model, not a curated record. NCBI's taxonomy places the organism in Eukaryota, Metazoa, Chordata, Aves, Falconiformes, Falconidae.
GGAAGGAGGUGGUGGCAGCCGCCAUGUUGAUGGCGUGGGAUGCUCGUAACUUAGGAGGAGCGGCCGGGGAACCGGGUUAAGAUGUCGGAAAAGGGGGAGGGUGGGAGCCAGGUUUUGGUUUAGGGGGUGGAAAGAGCUUGUUCGAGAGAGCGAGAGAGGAGGGGGGCGGUUGAGGGGAUGCGGCGGGUAGCGGAGGGCUCUGAAGGGCGUUACGCAGCGGCCCGCUGUCCCUCGGUGCCCGCCGGCUCUGGGAAGGGCAGUGCCUCUCUGUGGGGGGAGCGAGGUGAGGGGUGGGAGUGCGUUCCCGGGGUUCGCCCCCCCCCUUGUGGGCCGGAGCGGGGCCCCUGCGGUCCUGGCGGCGGGGCCCUGAGGCGGGCGGGCCUCGGCGGUGCGGGAGCGGCGGCCGCUGAGGUGGGUCUGUGGAAGGAGCUGGGGGGCGCUCGGACGGGGCCGCGGGCCGGGUUGUGGGGGCUGCGGGGCGUGGCGGGGCCGGGGGGCGCUGGUUUGGGAGGGGGGGAGGGGGCUCCGUGGCUCCCGGGGUUGUGCCCCUGGCGCCCUGUGGGGAGAGGGGUCCGGUGCGGGGCUGUAGCUGCCGAGGUGUUGGGCCCCGGCCUGGGAUGAAUGCAGGCUGGGUUAAAGAGCAGGGCUGGGCUCAUGGCCUGGCCUUGGUGGGGCAGGCCUCGGCAGGGAGCAGGCUGGGACGUGCCCUUGUCCCUUGUCACACACAGGGUGGUAGCUUGUGCGUGCUGGCUGGAGGCUCUUGUUAUUUUUUUUAAGGGUCGUGGCUUCUUUCUGAUAACAGUACUGACAGUGUUUUGCUGUCACAGGUACGUGGCUUAGUGUGUCCAGCUUUGCCCCUUCCCACAGGGGGCUGUUACCUGCGUGUCUGAAAGAGGGUAGAUUUAGAAUCGAUAGUGGGAAGCAAUUCUUCACUGUGCGGGUGGUGAGGCGCUGGCCCAGGCUGCCCAGAGCAGCUGUGGGUGCCCCAUCCCUGGCAGGGCUCAAGGCCAGGCUGGACGGGGCUGGGAGCGACCUGGGCUGGUGGAAGGUCCCUGCCCAUGGCAGGGUGGUUGAAACGAGAUGAUCUUUAAAGUCACUUCCAACCCAAACCAGUCCAUGAUUCUGUGUCCAUAGAGACAUAAAUCAACCUUGAAAAAGCUGAGAGAAUGGAUGAGGUGGUGUAAGACCUCUCAGCAUGGUACGGGAGCAGCAAAGCUAACUUGCUUCCCGGUUUUCUUACCUGAGCUUGCUGUCUUAGCUUAGCCAGCUGACUGGGUGCUGUCAGAAUUUCAGCAUACCUUCUGCCUGGCGUAUAGCAGUUAGGCCAGAUUUUCAGCAAUGGGUUGUAGACUUUCCUGUGCUGAACAUCACCCCUGCAUGUGCUAGGCCCUGUGUUGAGGAAUGUGAAAUGAUCCGUUCACCAUAUGAAAGAUUAAUUAAAUCCCUGUUAGUCUUAAAGAACUUGAGUUCCAUGAAAUAACAUGUGAAAGAUCGUUGCUCAAAACUUGUGCAUGGUUUGUGAAAUAACACUGUUUCUAGUUACAGCUGAUUCCUGUGAAAUAAAGUACUUUAUUACUUCAAGAAGAUACUCCAUUUAAAAGAGUUGUGAAGAGUUUCACAGGCUCACUGGAAGUCUUUGUUAAAAAAGUCCAGCAGUAGUAUAGCUCAGGAAAAAUGGAGUUACAAGUUUUGUUAAAUACUUUGGCUCCUCCUGGAGGUAAGUACAGUGCAUUUGCUCAGGAUAUCAUCUCGCAAUAACUACACAGAUACAGUGGUCUGUUUGCCCCAGGAUAUACUUGGAACAGUGUAGGGAGGAUGUCAUGAGAUGUUCUGUGGUACAGUUACUUAACUUGAACCUUGCAGCCUUUCAGGGUUUGUUGAUACUACAGCAUUGUGUGCCUUUCUUCUAUCUCUUUAAAUCCAGCUCCCUCUAGUUAAAGAAUCUGAACCAGUUGCAUUCCUGUAAAAUGUCCAGUGUCCUGGGAGGGGACAUGCUUCUCCCCACCUCCAGGGUGGCCAGUUUUGCCAUAUUCAUCACUGAAGAAAAGGAGUGGAGGGAGCAUAAUCCUCUGCUGUUGCUAUAACUUUCAGUAAUAGUUGCAUAUAUCUGAAGAAUUCUGAAUCGCAAGUACAGCCUCUUUUAUUUCUUAUCUACUUCUCUACACAGAUACCUUUAGAUCAGGUGUGCUGUGGGUGGAAAAAAGGGGCAGUGGCGUGAUGACUUAUGUCACAACAGUUGCCCACUGUAGGCUUUAAGCCUAAGCUUCUGUCUGUGCAGCUGAACCCAAGUAAUGAUGGUAAGUAUUGCAGUGAGAUAGCUCGCAGGGGGGAGCUUGGUUGUCUUUUCUGUAACUGUCAGAAAACAUGUAUGUGAAACCUUCAUCCAAGAUAGUCUGCUGAUCUAAUGACGGUAUGCUUUGUUAUUUAAACUGGUUUAGAAACAACGCAUUUCACCUGCAUUAAUUUCCCUCUCUUCUUCCCCUUCCCCCUUGUGUCUGUGCUGCUGCCCUUGGGAGAAGACAAGGAUGCCUCCUGCUUUACAGAUCUUUUUAUUUCAUUGUUUAUACCAUGUUUCUCUUUCUGAAGCUGUAGACACCACUGAUGUCUCAACUAAUAGUUGCAUAUUGAAAUGUAGAAAAAAGGAACUGGCUUUGCAAUCUACCCAAAUGAAUGCCUGACGCAAGAAACAAGUAAAAUAGUUUUCUAUGUAUCUAUAGCUCACUUUCACCAGUUCGGGAGUAUCUGAUAGUUGCCGGUGUGUGGAUCUUACUCAUUGAUGAUGACUAGUCAGAGAUCAUAAUAAUGAAACUCGUGUUACAUGUCUCAAACUUGGAUACUCUGUUCACCUGAAAGCGCUGAUGUCCAAGUCUUUUCUGACCCAACGGGUCUGAAAUGCAAGAUGCACAAGAAGCUUACAGUCCUAUUGCAGAAAUAAGUGGUGUCUCGGCAUUUCAUAUGAAAACACAUAAGGUGACCACAGAAUUGAAAACCUGCCUUUGAUAUUUCUUAAAUACGUGGGUAUACUCUGGUUUAAUACUGCUAAUAAAAAUUGCAGUGUCCAUAUGGUCCCGAGCCUGUGAAAGCUGAUCCAUUGUCUAUGCUUUGACUACUAUGUUGGCAUGCUGCACUACAGAAACUCUGUUCUCUUGUUGCUGAAGUGAUUUUGGUCACUGUGGACUCAGGUAAGCAACCACCUAGUGUCUUGAAGAACAGGAGAUGUGGUAGGAAGACCCUGCAGGAGGGAUGUGGAAAUUAAGUAGGCAUGUGUGAUGCCUUUGUUCAAGAAGAAAUUGCUUAAUACAUGUUUGACGUAAUUUCAUGUGUAGCAACCUGGCCUCAUAUCUCAGCUUUCAUUCUGACACGUUUUAAUGAAAACUUAAAGGAUUUGGGUGCCCUAAAUUGAGCCUUCAGUGGAUAGUAUACCGAAACCAGCUCUACAGUCUAUAUGAGAAUUACCUGAAUUUUAAGAGUGUACAAAUAUGUUACAUGCCAAGAUAAUUUUUAAGGUGUCUGAUACUCUGCUGUCACAGUGUCAACAUCUAUGUCAGUGCAGCAUGAACUGGCAGGAUGUUGGAGUUGUCUGAGUUCUUGAAAAUUAAUUGCCAAGCCAUACAUAAUUCUUAGUGUGCAAAUUAGCUAAAUGAAAAUAUUUUCAUGUGCACUCAAACAGGGAGUGGGAUAUGGUUUCUGAGGGUGAUUGAUGCUAUCUGUGCUAGCCUUGGUACAUAAGAUUUGGUUUUAACUCCCAUUUUCUUAGUUAUCCCAGCUAUAAAACUUUUUUGUCACAAGUUGUCCACAGUCCCCUUGGAGGAAGGAGAGUUGAAAGUGUCACAGAGGAACUGCUUUCUUCAAGACCUAUGGGGAAAGGGUAUAAACACUCAAAAUUACUGCUCGGAUUUUGGAGGCCGAAGAAACCGCUACAAAGGUAUUUUGUUUGCGUCUCCUGUGGAGCAAUUUCCCAAGGACUAGCCAGAGCUGCAAGGUGAAAGGUGAGAGGGUGAGUUCAGCUGGGUGGAACAGGCAAGUACUUCUAUAUCAUGUUGUUGUUUCAUAGUAUCUUAAUACAGAAAAAUAGGUUGUGUUGUCUACUUCAUUCUUCAACAGGAGAGUUUGGAAAAACAGGUAAGAGUUGGAAGGCUUCUGUGCCUUUUUAAGUGUUCUCAAGGAAAUUUGAGGUGGCAGCUGUUAAACCAAUUUCUGGAAGAACCUAAUCCUCCUGCAGAGCCAAAAAAGUUUGUAAAGCUUCUCAGAAAAUAAUUCUAGUGACUAAUUAUGAAGUCUUUAUUUUUUUUAUCUUUCAGCACAAGAAGAAUCUUCCAAGAGCAGUCAGGAACCUCUUCAGGUGGCAUGAAUGUGUUCGACUGAAUCGAGGCAGCAGUUACACAACAGGAAGGGGCAUGCAGGCUACUGCAAGUCCCUGGGUUCAUAACAACCAGUAUUGGAAGGAACCGGGUUUAGUAGAGAGGAAAACUUCUUCCACAACUUAUAACUCCCUUGAAUUUAAAUGAGAACAUCUAAUACUGAAACAGGAAAUUACUUUUAUUGUAGGUACAGGAGAUCAUCAGAAUAGGGGACUUAAAAGUGCUAGUCAGGGCUCUGUAGUGGGCCUUGGAAAACCUGCAGGUAGUUCCCAUACAAGAGACCAGCUGUGGGGAAGCUCCCCUUUGGGAAGGCACUGUAGCACUGGGGGGAUGCCGCUUGAGCAGAGGAGACUCCAGUUGAGUAUGUUCUGCAGCUGUUUUUUAGUUACAUAGGGAUGUAUCUCUUAAGGUGGGAUGGCCUAAGGUGACUACAGAAGACCAUAGGUUUGUAGGCAGACCACAUUUCCCUUGAGGGCAUAGAUACAACUGUGCAGUUCAGAACCACCUAAACAGUUCCAUUUUUCGUCAAAGAAUAUUACCAGAUUUAAAAACAGUUGUGCUUGCUCCACUGAACUCCUGCAGGAGUUAGCUGGCUGAGUGCAGCACUGCUCUGAAGAUAAGCCUUCCCCGCCCUUGGGUCGCUGGAGACUGGCACACAGACAUGACUCGGAUGGGCUCCAGGCCGAGUGUAAAUCCUUUGGCUGCCUGUGUUGUAGCUUUAAUAUAUACAGGCAGCACGCUUGGGAGCUUCCACGUGGAACAGGAAAACACUCGGGCAGGGCCAGUUGGGAUGUAUUCUGUGUGUGCACUGCCCUCUUCAGCGCAAAACUUGAUAAAACCCUGUAGUAGUGCGUACGACAGGCGGGGGCAUCGUGCUGAGGUUACACUAGGUGUGGACCUCGGUUGCCACAAAUCCUGGAAAGGUCUAUUUUUGUUGUGUAGUGGUAAACCUGAGUUAGUAACUGAUACCGUUCAGCCAGUGUGUGUGUCUGCCAGACAAGUAGUCCAUGAGCUGACCUCCUCAAGCAUGGGGACUAGGCUUUACUCCUUUACAAAAAAAAAAAAAAAAGGGGGAGGCAGCAAGGACUUUUUUUGAAGGGUCACAUAAACUCUACUGCAAGUAAAAGCCCACUAAAAAUCUUGGUGGAAAGAAUACAUUUUGGGAAAUGAUGAGUGCUGUGACAAAAAGUAGCGUGAUUUACAACAAUUUUCCGAUUCCGUUCCUUCUCUGUGUUUUUCUGAGAUUUGUAGGGGAGAAGUGCUGGACACAGAGUGUGAAAACCGUAACCAGAAGUAAAAAUUUAAUUCUAGCAACCAGAAUUUUGAGUGAAAUUACACACCGUUAUUUUCUAAGAAGGUCCUUUAUCUAAACCAGUAAUGCUGGAGUCCCUGAUCAUGCAUGCUAGUGGUCUCAGGGUCUCCAGCUAUUUGGAUGCAGUGGUGCAAAGCUUUAUGUUGCUUCCUAUAUGUUUCAGCUUAGAAUACAAUCUUUGGCAGUGUGAGUACCUAAACAGUAGUGCAGUCAGAACAUUCCUUACUGUAGACAAACCAUUUCCUUUUAGGUAAGUAACGCUGCACUGUGGAAAAGCACACAACUCUAGGGCGAGCUUCAUUUCAUAGUGUCUCCUGUGCCAGAAUUCCCUGGGCUUGUUCUCUUCCUUGCCUUGGACUCUGCUGUUUACCCAAACUUUGAGCCUUUCUGCGCAUUAUCUCUGGUCGGCUCUUUUCCAUCACCUGAUUAUUUUUUGUUUGGUUUUUUUUGCCGUUUCUCUGCAAAUACCUCUUCCUGGAAACCUGGGAAUGACAGUAAGUAUCUCAGGUUCCUGGCCAAGUUUCCACUCGUGGUUUCACUUGCUCCCUUCUGUCAAGUUAUUUACAUGUAGUGUCCUAAGGAUAUAAUUUAGUGGACGGCUAGCAGCAAGCAGCUAACCUUUAUGUCUUGGCCCCAGUCUGCAUAGGUCAGGUUUACACAAGCCUGCUGCCUCACAAUAAAUUCAGUGGCCUCUCUUACAGCCCUUGGUUUCCUUUUGCACAGCUUUAUGACAAAGAUAGUGUUCUGCUGUUGCAGAUUUAAAAAUGGACAUGCUAGGACUGAUUGCUUCACCUACUGAGCUGCAUGACCCAGAAUCUCUUCUGAACCUUGCCCUUCUGCAUACAUGAGGCCUAGGUGAGAAGGAUUAUUUCUCAUGUCUUAAUAGGUCUGACAUGCUGCACUGCAGGAGAGGUUUUCCAAAGCUAGCGUUGAGGUGUGAAGCUGACUAAGCUACCGUGCUCAGAGUCUUGUCCUUGGGUUCUGAGUUGAUGCAUGUCCAAGUUGGUUUGUAUCCAGCAGAGCCUUUCUGGGUAUGUGUUCCCAGGAGGUGUAUUACCUGAGCUCCCUGCUUUGAGCUCUCAGAAAAUACAGCUGCAUGAUGCAGAGGCUGUGGUGGCAUUGCUUGUUUAAGGUAUUUGGUGUUACCUUUCUACCUUUUCUUUCCCGUGCCAUGUUACACCACUCCCUUUUGUGCCAGCACAACUCUUUGGAGUGGCAUAGUGAGCUAUCAGUGUCUUGAUCAGGGUGUUAAUGCACACUCCCUGCCCUCUGUAUGCUUUUCUGUGGCUCGGGGCAGAAGCAGAGGAGGUUUGUAGUUUGCAGCUUUCUAAAACCUGGAUCGGGUUAGUGAGCUGGUUUGGAGCAUUUGCAACAUGGCACUAAAAAGAAGUGGCCAGGUGUACAGCAGCGGUCGGGCUUGGUGCUGAAGCCUCUGUCUCAUUAAGUCAUGCGCAUAAGGAUUCAGUUUAUUUUGUGGGGGAGGAACAGCAGCAGUAGUGCAGUGUCGCUUGUGCACAUGGAUGCUCUUGUUAAUCAUGUUUUGCUGCUUUAGGGCUCAUGACCCAGCCAGAUGUUCUGCUGCCUGUAGCCCUCUGACCAGGCAGUGGCAGCUCAAGAAACCCUGAUGUCUGUAAGCAGCGCUGUGAUUGCUAGGUGUAGUCCAAACAAAUCCCAGUGGGAGAGGAGAGCUGGAGUAAGAUGCGGAGCAGUUUUCCCCUAAAUGUGGGCGGGGGGUUGACUCUUAACGGAGUACAAACACGUUUUCUUAUGAUGGAACUAAUUUCUUACAUUUAGGGAGUUGCAUGUAACCCCUGCACACUUAACUAAAUAUCCCUUUUAUAUUUCAUGGCAGAACAGUUCUACAGUAACGAGACUGAGGUACUAAAAUCUUCCACACGUGAUAGAUAAAAACCUGAUCCCAGUUUUCCGUGUCAACAUUUUGGCAGUGCUCCUGAUACUAGCCAAGUUAGCUUCUCUACUGUGAACUCCUGCCACGCAAAUAUGAUCUACUGCCUUCGUUCUGGUAACGGUGAAUGCUGUCCUCUGAUGAGGAUGAUGUAGUGGCAGGUGUUUCGGAGUGACAUGCGGUGGCUUGGCUGUACUUGCUCUGCUGUAGCCGAUGUCGGCUAAAAUAAUAAUUGCAUCCCCUAAGAGUUAGAUUAUUGCUGCUGUUAAUCUUUCUGGAAAAAAACAAAUGAGAAGUAGAGGCAGAUAGAAUCCUCACGUGAAUUGGCAGGAGGGGGGUGCUAUGUCUCACCAGGGACGGAGGGCAGUCGUGCUUGUGAGGUCUGUGUAGCCUCCUGCAGAUCCCUGCCCACUGAAAGCUCCUCUCGUCUCCAGGGUCAGUUGUGACUGGAGCAACCGGUGUCCCGAUGCUACCUCCUGCAAACAGGUUAUUUGGCCGUGGAUUAACCUUGCCAUGAGUACCGAGGCAUGUGACAUGCUUGGCCAUGGAGGCAGGUAUGUGUGGGCUCUUUCACAAGUUUGUCAACGCUUAAGUGCAGUGGCUCUCCAGAAUGGGUAAUGUUGCUGCCAUUCACUCUGAGUGGCAUUGCAGCCUCAUUCACGUGGGUUUCACGGUAUCUCAGGCAUCCCAGCCUUUCGCUAUAGUCCGCUCUCCAUUACCUGAAGGUGAAUUUAGAUAGAAAUGCUCACGACUGCCAAGAUCCUGGGUUUGGAAGACGCCUGCUUCCCUGUAAUAUUCAGUCAUGCUGUCUGGUGGGGAUGGAUCUGCCUCUUGGGUAUGGCCGAUUUACCCGUCUUAUUUCUCCCAAAGGAUACGUGCGUCCUGGGCUUUCCCUGUGCUAUGUGCACAGCCUCCAGGCAGUGGUCACCUCUGUGGGAUGCCAAGGGAUGGCUACCCCAGUCAUCCCUGAAUUUACUGCUCAGCACCCCGUGACAUAGCAGGGAGUGCAAGGCAUUAUUUUGCUCAAGUCCACCACCCUCAACUGGCAUUUAUUUUUUCGUCACCAUUUUGUUUCUGGCUAAAACAAAGGUGUUAAGGGAGGCUUUGUGCCAACACACAGGUUUUCCAAACUUUGGAUUUUUCCCUUUUCUGUAGUAUCUCUCUGUCACCCAAACAUAGCACAUCACACUCGUGUUCAGUCUGUAGGUUAUGCCCUGAUAGGUGUGAGUAGCCCUAGGAUAAUUCCCUGUUUAUUCAGCUGUGUGGAGCUGGUGAUUCCAGUGGCUCCAAAAUUCUGGCUAUUGCAUCCCAUCGUUCUAAAGAAGACAAAUGAAAGCUUGGAGGAAAGAGCCCUCCUUUCCUUCUUGUCUGUUGGGAUGUGCCGAGCAGCCCCAGAGCUGGUGCAGGGGUCUGAUGGGAUGCUGACCUCCAUCCAUCCCCUGCCCUGGGUGGUGGGACAGCAGCACCCUAGGGUGGAGGAGGCCAGGGGCCAUCCAUCUCAAGAGCUGCUGUCUUCUACCUUUGUCACUCUGUCCCCGUGGCUUCUAUGUCCCUUUCCCUGAAACUCAUUGCCAUUUUUUUUGGAAAACACCUGCUCUGAUACAGCCCUUUAGCACAAGCAGUCUUUAGAUACAGCAGGCCGGGGUGCAUCUUGGCAUGCCAUCAGAUGAACUUUUUCAGGUCUUUAGGUAGUUUGUAACAAAGGGGAUAUUAGUGUGGGCAAGGUCCAAGAAAUACUUUUGUAGAGGCAUGUGUGACGUCUGCUAAAUUUGAAAAAGCCUUAUGUGACUUGGUCUUCUCUUUAGUGGCACUGUCAUCAGGUCUUCUUCCAUGACUCUAUCGUGGUAAUCUUGCAUUAGAGUUUUGAGAUCUGCCAAGUAAGGAGGCCCUGAUGAGCCCACAGUGUGAAGGUGGCUCUACACUGUUUCCAAGGGUCCUUCAAAGAAUGUGUUAAUGGGAAGAACAGUUUGACCCAUUUCCAUUAUUUUUUUUUAAUAGAUGUUUCAGCCCCAAGAAUCCCUGCAUAUUCCAUGUAACUUACAAUCAAUUAAUUUUCUCCAUUUUCUCCAAUACGGCCAUUUUUAUGCAAAGGCAUAUAAAUGGCAUUUCUUAGUAGGCAUUCCUUUCAUGUUGUGUAUUACAGCUGCAUGUAUCCACAUCAGGUAAGUCAGGAAUAUUUGAAUAACAAAUGUUAAAAUGGGUCAUAAACCACAAGAGUUGCUGAGUUCAAACUUCAGAGGACCUGGAUCCUUUCCUGGUACAUUCAGUGGGCGAAUAAUUUAUACCUCAGGACCAUGUUUUGCACUGGAGGACAUCUGUGUGACUGUCUGGCUGCUGCUACUUCAGCAUCUCUUACCUCUGGGAUGAAAUCUGGUUCCCAUUGAAUCUCUGUGUGGGUGGAAAGAGAUCUAAUAACACUUAAAAGGUAGAUGAAAAGUGCUGUCCAUGUGCUGAGUUUCAUAUUUUUAACCUUUGCAUUUUUUAAAGUAGCCCCUUCCAUUUCUUAAACGGGUGACACCUGAGGCUAAGUAGAUCUCUACAGCCAACUGCCUGAAAUGCCUCAGAGGCAGAAGUGCCGUUUUGCACAGAUACCCAGUAAAGAUGCAGAACCACGGUACUGCUGGGAACCAACCAGUCACCACUAAAAUAUGGUAGUGCAAAAACUCGUCAGGAGGCUGAGCAAACCCAGCCCUUCUUACAAUGUUAUGCCUACAGCAUUCUGUCUAAAACCCAUUAUCCCUUGGAAAAGUAGUUGACAACAUGGUAAAGAGGAGAAUCAAAUACCUUCCCAGGGUUCUCCCCAUUUUAAUGCACUCAUAAAUGUAGCCAAGUACCUCUCCGGCAUUAAUAAAGAGGAUAUUGGAAGCUAUCUAGACACAACGUAACUUCUUGAACCUUGAAAGACUUCUAACGACUCCUCCAUUUCCACAGCUGGUUUGUGGCAUCGUUGGGUAUGUUCACAUUUCCAAGUCCAAGACAUGAAGUGGCUUUGUACUAUUUCUUUAGAAAACAGCUGAAAUCAUAAAAGGAGCCCUGAUUUUCAAAACACAAAUGUUUGGUAUGGCUUUUAUUUAAAUAAAAUUCAGGCAUGCACGUGCUUAUACAGUCA